This 1549-nucleotide ribosomal RNA is filed under the name Klebsiella aerogenes. RNAcentral's name for it is "bacterial SSU rRNA". It matches the Rfam family "Bacterial small subunit ribosomal RNA". The record is from RNAcentral. Lineage: Bacteria; Pseudomonadati; Pseudomonadota; Gammaproteobacteria; Enterobacterales; Enterobacteriaceae.
AAAUUGAAGAGUUUGAUCAUGGCUCAGAUUGAACGCUGGCGGCAGGCCUAACACAUGCAAGUCGAGCGGUAACACAGAGAGCUUGCUCUCGGGUGACGAGCGGCGGACGGGUGAGUAAUGUCUGGGAAACUGCCUGAUGGAGGGGAUAACUACUGGAAACGGUAGCUAAUACCGCAUAACGUCGCAAGACCAAAGUGGGGGACCUUCGGGCCUCAUGCCAUCAGAUGUGCCCAGAUGGGAUUAGCUAGUAGGUGGGGUAAUGGCUCACCUAGGCGACGAUCCCUAGCUGGUCUGAGAGGAUGACCAGCCACACUGGAACUGAGACACGGUCCAGACUCCUACGGGAGGCAGCAGUGGGGAAUAUUGCACAAUGGGCGCAAGCCUGAUGCAGCCAUGCCGCGUGUAUGAAGAAGGCCUUCGGGUUGUAAAGUACUUUCAGCGAGGAGGAAGGCAUUAAGGUUAAUAACCUUGGUGAUUGACGUUACUCGCAGAAGAAGCACCGGCUAACUCCGUGCCAGCAGCCGCGGUAAUACGGAGGGUGCAAGCGUUAAUCGGAAUUACUGGGCGUAAAGCGCACGCAGGCGGUCUGUCAAGUCGGAUGUGAAAUCCCCGGGCUCAACCUGGGAACUGCAUUCGAAACUGGCAGGCUAGAGUCUUGUAGAGGGGGGUAGAAUUCCAGGUGUAGCGGUGAAAUGCGUAGAGAUCUGGAGGAAUACCGGUGGCGAAGGCGGCCCCCUGGACAAAGACUGACGCUCAGGUGCGAAAGCGUGGGGAGCAAACAGGAUUAGAUACCCUGGUAGUCCACGCCGUAAACGAUGUCGACUUGGAGGUUGUGCCCUUGAGGCGUGGCUUCCGGAGCUAACGCGUUAAGUCGACCGCCUGGGGAGUACGGCCGCAAGGUUAAAACUCAAAUGAAUUGACGGGGGCCCGCACAAGCGGUGGAGCAUGUGGUUUAAUUCGAUGCAACGCGAAGAACCUUACCUACUCUUGACAUCCAGAGAACUUAGCAGAGAUGCUUUGGUGCCUUCGGGAACUCUGAGACAGGUGCUGCAUGGCUGUCGUCAGCUCGUGUUGUGAAAUGUUGGGUUAAGUCCCGCAACGAGCGCAACCCUUAUCCUUUGUUGCCAGCGAUUCGGUCGGGAACUCAAAGGAGACUGCCAGUGAUAAACUGGAGGAAGGUGGGGAUGACGUCAAGUCAUCAUGGCCCUUACGAGUAGGGCUACACACGUGCUACAAUGGCAUAUACAAAGAGAAGCGACCUCGCGAGAGCAAGCGGACCUCAUAAAGUAUGUCGUAGUCCGGAUUGGAGUCUGCAACUCGACUCCAUGAAGUCGGAAUCGCUAGUAAUCGUAGAUCAGAAUGCUACGGUGAAUACGUUCCCGGGCCUUGUACACACCGCCCGUCACACCAUGGGAGUGGGUUGCAAAAGAAGUAGGUAGCUUAACCUUCGGGAGGGCGCUUACCACUUUGUGAUUCAUGACUGGGGUGAAGUCGUAACAAGGUAACCGUAGGGGAACCUGCGGUUGGAUCACCUCCUUACCUUAAAGAA